GACGAACGCUGGCGGCGUGCUUAACACAUGCAAGUCGAACGGAAAGGCCCUGCUUUUGUGGGGUGCUCGAGUGGCGAACGGGUGAGUAACACGUGAGUAACCUGCCCUUGACUUUGGGAUAACUUCAGGAAACUGGGGCUAAUACCGGAUAGGAGCUCCUGCUGCAUGGUGGGGGUUGGAAAGUUUCGGCGGUUGGGGAUGGACUCGCGGCUUAUCAGCUUGUUGGUGGGGUAGUGGCUUACCAAGGCUUUGACGGGUAGCCGGCCUGGGAGGGUGACCGGCCACAUUGGGACUGAGAGACGGCCCAGACUCCUACGGGAGGCAGCAGUGGGAAAUAUUGCACAAUGGGCGGAAGCCUGAUGCGGCAACGCCGCGUGCGGGAUGACGGCCUUCGGGUUGUAAACCGCUUUCGCCUGUGACGAAGCGUGAGUGACGGUAAUGGGUAAAGAAGCACCGGCUAACUACGUG
This 468-nucleotide ribosomal RNA is filed under the name uncultured bacterium. RNAcentral's name for it is "partial 16S ribosomal RNA". It matches the Rfam family "Bacterial small subunit ribosomal RNA", at positions 28 to 507 of the family's 1533-position model. The record is from RNAcentral.